CGCAUGUCUAGUAUAAGCAUUAUACCGUGAAACUGCGAAUGGCUCAUUAAAUCAGUUAUCGUUUAUUUGAUAGUACCUUACUACUUGGAUAACCGUGGUAAUUCUAGAGCUAAUACAUGCUAAAAACCCCAACUUCGGGAGGGGGUGUAUUUAUUAGAUAAAAAACCAAUGCCCUUCGGGGCUCUUUGGUGAUUCAUGAUAACUUAACGGAUCGCAUGGCCCUUGCGCCGGCGACGGUUCAUUCAAAUUUUCUGCCCUAUCAACUUUCGAUGGUAAGGUAUUGGCUUACCAUGGUUUCAACGGGUAACGGGGAAUUAGGGUUCGAUUCCGGAGAGGGAGCCUGAGAAACGGCUACCACAUCCAAGGAAGGCAGCAGGCGCGCAAAUUACCCAAUCCCGACACGGGGAGGUAGUGACAAUAAAUACUGAUACAGGGCUCUUUUGGGUCUUGUAAUUGGAAUGAGUACAAUUUAAACCCCUUAACGAGGAACAAUUGGAGGGCAAGUCUGGUGCCAGCAGCCGCGGUAAUUCCAGCUCCAAUAGCGUAUAUUAAAGUUGUUGCAGUUAAAAAGCUCGUAGUUGAAACUUGGGCCUGGCUGUCUGGUCCGCCUCACCGCGUGUACUGGUUCGGCCGGGCCUUUCCUUCUGGAGAGCCUCAUGCCCUUCACUGGGUGUGUUGGGGAACCAGGACUUUUACUUUGAAAAAAUUAGAGUGUUCAAAGCAGGCCUUUGCUCGAAUACGUUAGCAUGGAAUAAUAGAAUAGGACGUGCGAUCCUAUUUUGUUGGUUUCUAGGACCGCCGUAAUGAUUAAUAGGGAUAGUCGGGGGCAUCAGUAUUCAAUUGUCAGAGGUGAAAUUCUUGGAUUUAUUGAAGACUAACUACUGCGAAAGCAUUUGCCAAGGAUGUUUUCAUUAAUCAGUGAACGAAAGUUAGGGGAUCGAAGACGAUCAGAUACCGUCGUAGUCUUAACCGUAAACUAUGCCGACUAGGGAUCGGGCGAUGUUAUUAUUUUUGACUCGCUCGGCACCUUACGAGAAAUCAAAGUUUUUGGGUCUGGGG
This 1059-nucleotide ribosomal RNA is filed under the name Clohesyomyces sp. HZ-2016. RNAcentral describes it as "SSU rRNA". It matches the Rfam family "Eukaryotic small subunit ribosomal RNA", at positions 52 to 1119 of the family's 1831-position model. Lineage: Eukaryota; Fungi; Ascomycota; Dothideomycetes; Pleosporales; Lindgomycetaceae. The record is from RNAcentral.